CACGCAGGCGGUUCUGCGCGUUUCGAGUGACAGCGGGCGGCUUACCUGCCCGAGUAUUCGAAAGACGGUAGGACUUGAGGGCCAGAGAGGGACACGGAAUUCCGGGUGGAGUGGUGAAAUGCGUAGAGAUCCGGAGGAACACCGAAGGCGAAGGCAGUGUCCUGGCUGGUGACUGACGCUGAGGUGCGAAAGCCGAGGGGAGCGAACGGGAUUAGAUACCCCGGUAGUCCUGGCCGUAAACGAUGACCACCAGGUGUGGGAGGUAUCGACCCCUUCGUGCCGGAGUCAACACACUAAGUGGUCCGCCUGGGGAUACGGUCGCAAGAUUAAAA
RNAcentral lists this ribosomal RNA (332 nucleotides) under uncultured bacterium. Its description in RNAcentral is "bacterial SSU rRNA". It matches the Rfam family "Bacterial small subunit ribosomal RNA", at positions 568 to 899 of the family's 1533-position model. The record is from RNAcentral.